RNAcentral lists this ribosomal RNA (277 nucleotides) under uncultured bacterium. RNAcentral's name for it is "partial 16S ribosomal RNA". It matches the Rfam family "Bacterial small subunit ribosomal RNA", at positions 523 to 794 of the family's 1533-position model. The record is from RNAcentral.
CUACGUAGAGUGCAAGCGUGUCCGGAAGUAUUGGGCGUAAAGGGUACGUAGGCGGAUAGUAAAGUCAAGCGUGAAAGGUGUCGGCUUAACCGACAGGACUGCGUUUGAAACUGAUUAUCUUGAGUGUAACAGAGGAGAGUUGGAAAUUCCUAGUGUAGUGGUGAAAUACGUAGAUAUUAGGAAGAACACCAGUUGGCGAAGGCGACUCUCUGGGGUUAACACUGACGCUGAGGUACGAAAGCUGGGGGAGCGAACGGGGAUUAGAUACCCGCGUAGU